UACGGGGGGGGGAAGCGUUGUUCGGAAUUACUGGGCGUAAAGGGCUCGUAGGCGGCCAACUAAGUCAUACGUGAAAUCCCUCAGCUUAACUGGGGAACUGCGUGUGAUACUGGAUGGCUUGGAUUUGGGAGAGGGAUGUGGAAUUCCAGGUGUAGCGGUGAAAUGCGUAGAUAUCUGGAGGAACACCGGUGGCGAAGGCGGCAUCCUGGACCGGUAUUGACGCUGAGGCGCGAAAGCCAGGGGAGCAAACGGG
RNAcentral lists this ribosomal RNA (253 nucleotides) under uncultured bacterium. Its description in RNAcentral is "partial 16S ribosomal RNA". It matches the Rfam family "Bacterial small subunit ribosomal RNA", at positions 524 to 776 of the family's 1533-position model. The record is from RNAcentral.